This 253-nucleotide ribosomal RNA is filed under the name uncultured bacterium. Its description in RNAcentral is "partial 16S ribosomal RNA". It matches the Rfam family "Bacterial small subunit ribosomal RNA", at positions 524 to 776 of the family's 1533-position model. The record is from RNAcentral.
UACGAAGGGGGCUAGCGUUGCUCGGAAUUACUGGGCGUAAAGCGCACGUAGGCGGAUUGUUAAGUCAGGGGUGAAAUCCUGGAGCUCAACUCCAGAACUGCCUUUGAUACUGGAGAGCUUGAGUCCGGAAGAGGUGAGUGGAACUCCGAGUGUAGAGGUGAAAUUCGUAGAUAUUCGGAAGAACACCAGUGGCGAAGGCGGCUCACUGGUCCGGUACUGACGCUGAUGUGCGAAAGCGUGGGGAGCAAACAGG